UACGGGGGGGGCAAGCGUUGUUCGGAAUUACUGGGCGUAAAGGGCUCGUAGGUGGCCAACUAAGUCAGACGUGAAAUCCCCAGGCUCAACUUGGGAACUGCGUCUGAUACUGGAGGGCUUGAGUGCGGGAGAGGGAUGUGGAAUUCCAGGUGUAGCGGUGAAAUGCGUAGAUAUCUGGAGGAACACCGGUGGCGAAGGCGGCAUCCUGGACCGACACUGACGCUGAGGCGCGAAAGCUAGGGUAGCAAACGGG
This 253-nucleotide ribosomal RNA is filed under the name uncultured bacterium. RNAcentral's name for it is "partial 16S ribosomal RNA". It matches the Rfam family "Bacterial small subunit ribosomal RNA", at positions 524 to 776 of the family's 1533-position model. The record is from RNAcentral.